GUCAGGAUAGCUCAGUUGGUAGAGCAUGAUACAGUUAAUUUCAGGGUUGUGAGUUCAAGCCCCAUGUUGGGUGAAAGAUU
This 80-nucleotide transfer RNA is filed under the name Podarcis lilfordi (Lilford's wall lizard). Its description in RNAcentral is "tRNA.Asn". The record is from RNAcentral. Lineage: Eukaryota; Metazoa; Chordata; Lepidosauria; Squamata; Lacertidae.